AGGAAUUCAUGUUAAAUAAAAGCAAUGAAUUGGUCUCAAUCUGGAACAGCUAGAGAGGAUAGGGAUUAUAGAAUAACUGGUCAAGGUGGAACAAAGAUACAGCGAAUACAUCAUAAGCCUAGCAAUUUUAAACCCCAUCAACAUCUCUCAUGUAAUUCCAGAUCACCAACCCUAGAGAGGAAGAAAUCGGGCACCUUCGGCAUAACCUCAUGCAUCCUCAGUAUCUAUACAACAGAAAUCUUACUUCGUGUUAUUACUAUGUAUGCAGGGUCCCCAAAAAUAAACUCUUCUUUAUGACAGAAGGGAUGUAAUGGGAAGCACCAUCCAGGCACAGGAAGCUUUAAUGUGGGGGUUGUCUUGUAUCAAGAUGCCAGCUGAAAAGGGUGCUUGCAAUUUAAUUGGAAGCACAUUAUGUCUGUACUAGUGUGUAAACGUAGAAGUCAAGUAUGCCAGUGAUGUUUUAUCUUAUGUAAGGGUAGACAGGAUUGACAUGUAUUAAAUAACCCUUUAGGAGAAGAGAAUAAAGUUGGUACAACAAACCCCUAGAAAGAAGGCCUAACAGACAUAUAUAUAUGCACUUAUAGGACUAGAACCCUACAUCUGUAAAAUACAGAUGCUCAAAUACAUGUGUU
RNAcentral lists this long non-coding RNA (632 nucleotides) under Gossypium barbadense (sea-island cotton). RNAcentral describes it as "long non-coding RNA (GBAR_LNC018425)". Lineage: Eukaryota; Viridiplantae; Streptophyta; Magnoliopsida; Malvales; Malvaceae. The record is from RNAcentral.